Small nucleolar RNA from Ornithorhynchus anatinus (platypus), 138 nucleotides. The record is from RefSeq and is a predicted model, not a curated record. Lineage: Eukaryota; Metazoa; Chordata; Mammalia; Monotremata; Ornithorhynchidae.
CCCCUCUCAGGGUUGCACCUGGAGAGUGUCCAGUACGUUACCAUUCUCGGCUAUGGGAGGGAGAGUCAAGCAGAGGUCUACCCAUUCCAUUCCUAGCUUGGACAGUGGCUAGUGAGUGGAAGGAAAUCUGCUACAAGU